RNAcentral lists this unclassified non-coding RNA (319 nucleotides) under uncultured Tomentella. Its description in RNAcentral is "sequence contains 5.8S rRNA gene". Lineage: Eukaryota; Fungi; Basidiomycota; Agaricomycetes; Thelephorales; Thelephoraceae. The record is from RNAcentral.
GAACGCACCUUGCGCCCUUUGGCCAUUCCGAAGGGCAUGCCUGUUUGAGUAUCAUGAACACCUCAACUCAUCGUGGUUUUCCAUGAUGAGCUUGGACUUUGGGGGUUUUGCUGGCCUACAGUCGGCUCCUCUAAAAUAAAUCAGCUUACCAGUGUUUGGUGGGUAUCAUGGGUGUGAUAACUAUCUACGCUUGUGGUUUUUCCACCAGGUAACCUUCAGCAGUGAAGGUUCACUGGAGCUCAUAGACGUCUCUCCUCAGUGAGGACAGCCCUUUGAAUGUUUGAUCUCAAAUCAGGUAGGACUACCCGCUGAACUUAAG